This 145-nucleotide transfer RNA is filed under the name Microcaldota archaeon. RNAcentral describes it as "tRNA-Ala". The stretch from base 1 to 72 matches the Rfam family "tRNA". The record is from RNAcentral. Lineage: Archaea; Nanobdellati; Microcaldota.
GGGCUCGUAGAUCAGCGGUAGAUCGCCUCCUUUGCGAGGAGGAGGCCGUGGGUUCAAGCCUUUUCUUUCUUGAGAAGAAAGAAAACCCUUGGGAAAAGAAAGAAGCACAAGGAAACUUGGCUGCCUAUAAAUCCCACCGAGUCCA